AAGGUCUCCGUUGGUGAACCAGCGGAGGGAUCAUUACCGAGUUUACAACUCCCAAACCCAAUGUGAACGUUACCAAACUGUUGCCUCGGCGGGGUCACGCCCCGGGUGCGUCGCAGCCCCGGAACCAGGCGCCCGCCGGAGGAACCAACCAAACUCUUUCUGUAGUCCCCUCGCGGACGUAUUUCUUACAGCUCUGAGCAAAAAUUCAAAAUGAAUCAAAACUUUCAACAACGGAUCUCUUGGUUCUGGCAUCGAUGAAGAACGCAGCGAAAUGCGAUAAGUAAUGUGAAUUGCAGAAUUCAGUGAAUCAUCGAAUCUUUGAACGCACAUUGCGCCCGCCAGUAUUCUGGCGGGCAUGCCUGUCCGAGCGUCAUUUCAACCCUCGAACCCCUCCGGGGGAUCGGCGUUGGGGAUCGGGACCCCUCACACGGGUGCCGGCCCCGAAAUACAGUGGCGGUCUCGCCGCAGCCUCUCCUGCGCAGUAGUUUGCACAACUCGCACCGGGAGCGCGGCGCGUCCACGUCCGUAAAACACCCAACUUUCUGAAAUGUUGACCUCGGAUCAGGUAGGAAUACCCGCUGAACUUAAGCAUAUCA
Molecule: ribosomal RNA, 596 nt
Filed under: Trichoderma harzianum
Lineage: Eukaryota; Fungi; Ascomycota; Sordariomycetes; Hypocreales; Hypocreaceae
Description: eukaryotic LSU rRNA
Rfam family: 5.8S ribosomal RNA (bases 220-373)
Source: RNAcentral